Molecule: non-coding RNA, 773 nt
Organism: Zonotrichia albicollis (white-throated sparrow)
Lineage: Eukaryota; Metazoa; Chordata; Aves; Passeriformes; Passerellidae
Source: RefSeq, a predicted model, not a curated record
GGGGAUCCGCCGCGAAAUCGGGUUCAUGAGUAGAGAGGAGCCUUUAGAAGUGCCAUCCGCUGAGGGAGCGCCGUGAGGCUGUAGCUCACGUGUUCCUUGAAAGGUAAAGAUCACAGCCUUCUCAACAAAGACCCAGUCUGAAAACGGAGUAAAAAUUACUGUGAGAAGUUUGCUUUCUGGAAGGAAGUGAGUUUUCCUGCUCUACAGCUCCAAGUCCCAAUAUAAAUUUAUGCUUUCUAAUAUAGUAUGCAUUUUAUAUCAAGUCUAUGCUUUUUCUGUUAUUUUUGGAAGACUCAUCUGAUGAAUAUAUUCAACUGGUAAUGUGGCUUUGUAAAUUAAAGACUUUUUCUUGUUUAAUGCUUUGUUUUAUUCACUAAAAUUACAAUAUGAUUUUGCACAUCUUAAGAAAAGAAGGUGACAUUUCAACCAAACAUUUAAAAAUCUUAGUUUUACUAUUGCAACUGAUUAUUUUGUAGUAAAAAUUUGUGAGUACAUCUUUAUUUUUGUUUAUAAAACUGAAGUGCUAUUCACUCAUAUAUGCUAAUGUUUUCUUGAAUGCCUUAAACUUCUACAAACAAUUUGCAGUUGGAGAGUGUAAUUUUCUUUUACUUACACAUUCAUUCUGUUUGUGAAAGUAAGAAAAAUUGAAACACAAAAUCUUCUUAUAAGUUUCUUAUAUUCUAACUUGUUCAGCUUCUAGAUUUUGUAGGUUCCUUUAAGCGAAUUGGAUUUUCUCCUUGCAUUUAGAUUAACAAUAAAAUUAUUCACUCUUA